GUACCCGUAGCUCAGUGGAUAGAGCGACAGAUUGCGGAUCUGUAGGCCGUAGGUUCAAAUCCUAUCGGGUACACCA
This 76-nucleotide transfer RNA is filed under the name Dictyobacter arantiisoli. RNAcentral describes it as "tRNA-Arg". It matches the Rfam family "tRNA". From Rfam's summary of the family: Transfer RNA (tRNA) molecules are approximately 80 nucleotides in length. Their secondary structure includes four short double-helical elements and three loops (D, anti-codon, and T loops). The record is from RNAcentral. Lineage: Bacteria; Bacillati; Chloroflexota; Ktedonobacteria; Ktedonobacterales; Dictyobacteraceae.